This 378-nucleotide long non-coding RNA is filed under the name Vigna radiata. RNAcentral describes it as "long non-coding RNA (VRAD_LNC003299)". The record is from RNAcentral. Lineage: Eukaryota; Viridiplantae; Streptophyta; Magnoliopsida; Fabales; Fabaceae.
UCUCGCACUCCCCUCGCCACCGAGCCGGAAUCUCAGGCAUACCGGCGUCAGUAAAGCUUGGAGAUUCAGGCCACACUCCUGUGUCGAGCACACCUACGAUAACAUCGUGCGACGCUUGGUUGAGGUCCUGCGCGGUGUGACCCUCCCACAGCCCCGUCUCUCUCUCGAGCCCCAAAAACUGGGGCGUACGCGUGGUGUGCAGUUGGUAGACCGUGUCCUCGUAGACUCCAAGAACAUCCUGGGAUCUGAGAAGGUCCUGCGCCUGGUCCUCGGCCAGCGACGCCGCAAAGCCGUUGUAGGCAUGAGUAUAAGAGUAAAGCAAGGGAUCGGAAUGAGUGGUUAAAGAUUGAAGAUUUGCGGUGUACCAGUCGGUGUGAG